CCCCUGAAAGACUAUCAGGUUGAUAGGUUGGAGGUGUAAGUACAGUAAUGUAUUCAGCUGACCAAUACUAAUAGGUCGAGGGAUUGAUCAAAUU
RNAcentral lists this ribosomal RNA (94 nucleotides) under Clostridium botulinum C/D. Its description in RNAcentral is "partial 23S ribosomal RNA". It matches the Rfam family "Bacterial large subunit ribosomal RNA", at positions 2834 to 2925 of the family's 2925-position model. Lineage: Bacteria; Bacillati; Bacillota; Clostridia; Eubacteriales; Clostridiaceae. The record is from RNAcentral.